Molecule: non-coding RNA, 215 nt
Organism: Chiloscyllium plagiosum (whitespotted bambooshark)
Lineage: Eukaryota; Metazoa; Chordata; Chondrichthyes; Orectolobiformes; Hemiscylliidae
Source: RefSeq, a predicted model, not a curated record
CUGGGACACAGAGGGGGCUCCGAGACCGGGAUUGAUUCGGGGCAAGUACUCAAAGGACCAAGACAAUGUAAUAUUCCCUCGGUACAGAGCCGAGUGUGACCAGCUGCUUCUAACAAACAGCAGGUAUGUUACUGCUGUCAGAGCGAAGAACAUCCUUUCCACUGUCAGAUUUUUCCACACAUUGAGCUCAGUUUAAGACAGAGAUGUUCAAACAA